UCUCUGAAACCAUUGCCCAACGCGCAAUUUCAUGAGCCAAGUCUUUCCCAACUCUCGCAAUAUGGUGAAUCGAAAUUACACCGGCGUCUGAAGCACGAGUUUUCGCCUCGUUGAUCAACCAUCGAAUCUUAGUGAGGUCUUCAGCAUCUCCAUUCAGCAAACGAACGACCUCGAGGGAGUCCGAUUCAGCUAUACUCGGCUAUAAAGAGACAACCUGCACGCCCAGUUUGACCAUCCCAAUCUCGAAUCACCCAACCGAUUCCUCCUGUUCCGAGACCAUCAUUCCAGAGCGGCGUUGUUUAACAAUUGUUGAUCAUUGUGUAUCUUGCAAGCAUUUGUCAGUUUGAUCUCAA
Non-coding RNA from Momordica charantia (bitter melon), 353 nucleotides. The record is from RefSeq and is a predicted model, not a curated record. NCBI's taxonomy places the organism in Eukaryota, Viridiplantae, Streptophyta, Magnoliopsida, Cucurbitales, Cucurbitaceae.